UACAGAGGGUGCAAGCGUUAAUCGGAAUUACUGGGCGUAAAGCGUGCGUAGUCGGUUAUCUAAGUCGGGUGUGAAAUCCCCGGGCUCAACCUGGGAAUUGCAUUCGAUACUGGAUAGCUAGAGUUCGGCAGAGGGAAGCGGAAUUUCCGGUGUAGCGGUGAAAUGCGUAGAUAUCGGAAGGAACAUCAGUGGCGAAAGCGGCUUCCUGGACCAGAACUGACGAUCAGGCUCGAAAGCGUGGGGAGCAAACAGG
This 253-nucleotide ribosomal RNA is filed under the name uncultured bacterium. Its description in RNAcentral is "partial 16S ribosomal RNA". It matches the Rfam family "Bacterial small subunit ribosomal RNA", at positions 524 to 776 of the family's 1533-position model. The record is from RNAcentral.